This 600-nucleotide unclassified non-coding RNA is filed under the name Hevea brasiliensis (rubber tree). Lineage: Eukaryota; Viridiplantae; Streptophyta; Magnoliopsida; Malpighiales; Euphorbiaceae. The record is from RNAcentral.
AAAAAGUCCAACUAUUUGCAGCAAAAGGGUAAAUUCAAUAGUCAAACAGCUCUAGACUGGGAUUAUGGAGAAACAAAGAAAUCAAAGACAAUUGGAAAGAUGACCUUAAAUCCCUGGUAGUUUUGGAAGCCCUUGGAUAGCAGAUGAAGAUGUUAGGUAUGGCCUGUGAAUGCCCUGAUAGCAAUUGUUCUGUUUCUUCCCCUAGAUAACUGAUAGAACAAACCAAUACAGAACUCUUGAUUGGCAACUUCUGUGAAUGCCUGUUACAUUUGAAACUGCCAUAUUAUAGGUUGUUUACCUCUGAAAAGAAAGGGUUAGGCCCAAAAUCUAAUAUCAGAAAAUCUAAUAUCAGAUCAUUUCAGGCGCACUUCAUGCGGAUAUGUACUGUUUUUAUUGCAUUCCAGGAAAUCUCGCGCUUAGCAUGCCACUUGAGAAAUCAAGGUGACACCCAUAGUAGUCAUAUCAUUUUAGUGGACGAACAGCAGAACAACAGGGCACCAGAUUCGAAUGCCGGCUGUACCAAUGCCAAUCAAGCACAAAACAACCUGAGCUAUCAAAAUCCAUCCCAAACCGGGGAACACCAAGCACCCAAAAGAACGG